AUUGUAUUGGAAGGUCGGAAAGCCCAGCUGCGUUGUUUAAUGCACGUUAUUGUGGACAUGAGCAGAACUCCGGAAGGGGAAAAUAGAGUCUCUAGAGAAAGCAAGUAAAAGAUUGGUGUCAGGGAUGGAGCGGCAGUAUUAUGAUAAUGAGACGUGUACUUGGAAAACGGAGAAGGAAUGGAGGGAAAGAGAGAGGGAGAAGAGGGUGAGCUUGAGUCGGAUAAAAAUUGUGGGAAAAAUGUAGAUGAUUUGUCAAAGAAGAAUGGUAGAAAGUGUAAGCAGCGGGAGCUGAAGACAGGAGGAGAAAUGGAAGUGAAUAAGGGCGAAGUAUCGGAGGUGGUAGGUGCGGUAAAGUUAUCGGAGACCGAGGUAUGUACGGAGGAUCAGGAUGAAGAAGAGUCUGACAGUAGGAGUGAAGUUUAUGGAAAAAGUGGACUCUUGCCUUUUGUCUGAUCCAUUUGUGGUUUCACGGUGGGUGAAAAAAGAGUUGGGUCAUGUGGAAUCGGUGAGGGUAACUAGAGGGGGUCUAGUGAUAAUUGUUUGUGUUUAUUUUGGGCAGAGGAAGAAUGCGCUCGAAGUAAAACGAAUGGGGGCAAGCAAAGUGAAUGUUUCGUUCUCAAGAAAAGGGCACCAAUGAAAGGAGUGAGAACUGGGGAAGCAGUAGAUAUAAACGUUGACCAGCUGAGGGCAAAUAUUCCCGGUGUAUGUGAUGCUCGUCGUUUGAUGCGACGCAGACAGGGUGGCGAGAGUGGGGAAACAGAAGAGUCAUUGUCUGUUCUUUUGAGUUUUGAAAUUGAGUCUGUGCCUGACAAAGUGAAGUUAGAAUAUGUGUUAUCCUGUACGAGCGUAUGUGCCGAAUACAUUAAGAUGUUACAGGUGUCAAGCUUAUGGGCAUGUGGCAGAAGUGUGCAGGAGGGAGGGUUCAAGGUGUGAGAAAUGUGCAGAAGGGCAUGAGACAAAGGAAUGUUUAGUAUUUGGGAAAGUAGUGGAAUGUGUUAAUUGUAGGGGUGCCCAUGGAGCUGGGGAUCAGAAAUGUCCCAUGCAAGAGAGGCAGAUUGAGGUUUCUAGGGUUAGAGUAGAGCAGAAGUUGUCAUGCUGAGGCAGUGAAGAAAGUAUAGGAAGUUGGGUUAAGGGGGAGGAGUGGUGAGAGUAGUAGAGCUAUACCAGUACAGAGGGAUAGGACAAAAAGUGAAAUAAGUUUCAGUACGAUUGGAUUUUUAGCAUUUAUAUCAAUGGUUAUUAAUUGUACUGCAGGGAUGGAUUGGAAAAUUUAGGUUGUGGUGAGGUAUUUGGGUGUGCGAGACUUGACAACAGAAGAGUUACAGGAUGUGUUAAGUGGUGAUGUUCCAUCCUUUUAGGGUGAUGGCAUGAGGUAGGAAUACAUACAUUUAAUUAGUGGAGUAGGGGGGUGUUAAUUUAAUUGUAUAUCAUUUUGACAUUAGUGAGUAUACUGUUAGAUGGUAGGGUAUUUAUUUAUACAUUUUUAUUUUUCAAGUAAAGUAUAAGGGAGUUGUACUCCAGUCUAGUAGGUGGUGGUAAUACAACAAAUUGGAUGCCAACCGCCGUUAAAAGACACACUUCUUCUUCUAUGAGGUUUAAGUGUUUGACCGUCAAUCGUCCACAUGGCUGGCUGCCACCGGAAACUUCAGGAAGAUUGCCCAUUAUUUGUAUUUUUUUCCUAUGGCCCCAGAAAAGUGAGGCAGUGGGAGAACCUAUUCAAAGAGCCAUGGGACCUCUUCAUCUGCAGGCAGUUUCAAUCAAUGUCCCAAGAGAAUAAGGGUACAUCCUUGUAUACCAUAGAUUAUAUGUCUACCUAUGUUGGCAAAGUUUGUAAACAAAAAUACAGUUUAAAAGUCACGCAAUGUAUAAACCUUUUACAACUGGAGCAGGCCAACCAUACUGGGAGUACACACUUAUGUUUCAGCCCAGAAAUAACACACCUAAUUCAAGGUAUCAAACCUAAAUAGUUUAGACUCAAGUGUGCUAUUGUUGGGCUGGACCGGAAGUCUUCUCACCCAGUAGAUAAGGGAUCAGUGGAGCGAGGAUGGCCACCUCCGGUAUUGAAUUAUUUUUGUUUACCUGAAAUUAUGCUUUUGUGGUAAAUAGCCUACUUGUUACUAAAACUUUACAUUUGAGUUAGCUUACUUGUACACUUUGAAAUGAUAUGAAACAGUGUUGAUUCUUUGAAGUGAAGUGUUUAAACAUGUUUUAAUUGUUAACUUAACCAUUAUUCAAUAUUAACUAGUGUUGAUGUUGAUUAAUUACAGAUCACAAUCCUGCAAUAAAAAAGGGAAGGGAAUGUUUGUGUUUGUUUCUCAAAUGAUCAUUACCAUUUUGUCAGUCAUAAGCUCUCCAAUUAGAUUUAUUUGAUUGUCACAAUUUUUUCAGGAGAUCAGCCAUGUGGGGGGCGGCAGGUAGCGGUUAGAGCGCUGGGCCAGUAACCGAAAGGUUGCUUGAUCGAAUCCCCGAGCUGACAAGGUAAAACUCUGUCGUUCUGCCCCUGAACAAGGCAGUUAACCCAAGGCCGUCAUUGUAAAUAAGAAUUUGUUCUUAACUGACUUGCCUAGUUAAAUAAAGGUUAAAUAAUUUUAAAAAGUUGACCCAUUAUGCAGCUGAUAAUGGCAUGCAAUGCCAAUGCAGCCAUAGGCCUACAGCAGUGGUUCCCAACUCCAGUCCUUGAGUACCCUCAACAGCACACCUGAUUCAACUCAUUGAGGGCCUGAUGAUUCGUUGACAAGUUGAAUCAGGUCUGUUUGUCCGGGGCUAGAAUAACUGUACCCUCGACAUUGUGCAUCUGAAUUAGAUAAUAGCUUAACCCACACAAUGUUUGUAUUGUUCAGCUAUAUGUUAUCAAUUUAAAAACUAUACCAGUAGGCAAUGUAUGAGGCUGAUCAUUAUACUAGAUUUUCUACAUGCCUUGUGCUGACACAAGAUUGUUUAGUUCAUAUCCAACCCUUGCAAUCGAGGUGGUUUAAGACUACCACAAUAACUACAUUGUCUACGCUAAAUGUGUUUAAAUUGUAAAAGAAUGACACGUUUCAAGUUAAUGUCACAUGCACAGUAAAAUGCCUUUAAUGCGAACUCAAAACCCAACAAUGCAAUAAUCAAAUGUAUUACUAGAAAAAAAGCACACAAGAAAUAUGAAAUACACAAUAAAGUAAACAAACAUACUAUAUACAGAAAAUAUUUAAAAAGUCAGUUCCAAUACCAUAUUUACAUGUGCAGGGAUACUGGGGUGAUGGGAGGUAGAUAUGUGUGGGGUAAGGUGACUAGGCAACUGGAUAUAAGAUAAACAGAGUAGCAGCAGCUUGUGGGUGUAGAGUUGGUAUAAAUGUAUGUGCAUAUUAUGUGUGAGUGAGAAAAUGGAGUGAGUGUUUGCUUUGGAGUGACAGUGUGUAGGGCCCUGUGAGUGUGCAUAGACAGUGCAAAAUACUGAAAUAGAAGGUCAAUAAAGAUGCAAGGUAAACUUGGUCCGUGCAAGUUUGUUAGCUAUUUUUCAGUCGUAUUGCUUGGGGAUAAAAGCUGUUCAAGCAGAGAAAAUCUAUGGCUUGGAUGGUUGGGAUCUUUGACCUGAUAUGGAGGUCCAGGAUGGCAGGGAGCUUGGCCUCAGUGAUGUACUGGGCUGUGCGCACAACCCUCUGUAGCGCCAUACGAUCGAGGGCGAUGCUAUUGCUAUACCAAGCAGUGAUGCAGCCAGUCGAUAUGCUCUCGAAGGUACAGUUGUAGAACCUUUUCAGGAUUUGAGAGCUCAUGCCAAACUUUUUCUACUACUCUGUUUAUUAUCCAUACAUAGUCACUGUACCUCUACCUACAUGUACAUAUGACCUCAAUCCCUCGAAUAACCUGUACCCCCUGUAUUUAGCCUCGCUACUGUUAUUUUAUUUUUGCACCUUUUUUUCCCUUCAUUACUUUCUUCAGUUUAUUUCAGUAAAUACUUUAACACUUAUUUUUCUUAACUGCAUUGUUGGUUAAGGGCUUGUAAGUAAGCAUUUCACUGUAAGGUCUAUCUAUACCUGUUGUAUUCGGCGCAUGUGAUUUAUAUAUCUUUUUGAUUUAGUGACGCCGAAUUAUAAUCACCGCAACCAGAAAGGCAGCCUCACCCCGACUCCACUAUCCUGUCUGCCCGGUGAAUGAAGAAUCCAUCGAGUUAGAUAGCCGUGGGGGGCAUAUUGUCUGAGAGCCACGUUUCUGAAAAGCAAGGAACAUUGCAAUAGUUGGGCCAUAAGAAAUACUUUUUAUUCAAUGGGGCUAGGCAAAGCAAAGAUGACAGAAUACUUGUCUUUUCACUUAGACAACAAUAUAGCUUGAAGUACAGUAUGUUUACAAUAUCAACAAGUCUUUUAAACGUUCCAAAUUACAUUAUAUUCAUACAGUGUAAGGGGGCACUUUUGUCAUGACAAGGUGCUCUACUCAAUUGACAACAGAAUAAUUGUCCAAAGCACAGCAUAUGACAACCAUGUCAUAUAACUGAGGGAUGUCUUCUUUCAUGUCUGGAAAAAGAUGAAGAAGUAGUAGAAACUGAUGCUGCUGCAGCAUUACCCAUCUUCACAGGGGGAAUCCAGUCAACAUGGGUGUCUUGAUAUAGGUCAGCUGGUGAACCUACAGUACAUCAACAAAUGAGAAGCACACCUGACGUUAGAAUAUCAAAUCUUCAGGUCACCUAUACCAUCGCGGCUCUUAAGUGUUUGGUUGUGUUUAAUUCAUUCAGGUGUUUUAGUGUCAUAAAGAUUAAAUAUAUUGUUGGGCUGGAACAACUAUUACCAUUGGUUGCUCCAGCCUUUUUGAGGCCUUUGUCCUAUGCGGUAAUGUCCAUACAUUUUCCCUCAUUUUAUGAAUAAAGUUAUAAAAUUAUCAUUGGAUUAUCAUUUUUUGAACAAUAAUUUCCUUCAGAAUAUAUGGACGUCAUAUUGUACAAUUUGUGUCUACCCUUUUCAUGGUCAUGGCAAGAAGGGAACCAGCUUUUGUAAAAUGAACGUAAUAUUUUACAUUUCAUAGCCGAUACUGAGAAUUUAAGCAGCAGGUUAGAAGAAUUAGGUUAAGGCUGUGAAAAAAGUUAAGGUUAGCUAAAAAACAAAAUAAAACUUUUUAUGUAAAUUUGAGAAAAGCUGGAUCCCUUUAAGCAAAGACCCCUUUUCGGCCUAGAUUACAUGGUUGUUUUCAAGACAAGGUCGUUCUAAUUGAUCUGCUGUCAGUAGAGUAGGCCUAGACUACCAUCGUAUUAAAAAAGAUUAUGUUAAUAUCUCCAGUGAUAUAAAGUGUAGUAGAAUUGCAUUUAAUGUUAUCAAAGGCCACAUUUUUCCCGUGCAAAGGAAAGAAACGUCUCUGAUAUAGGAUAUAAACCUAUGCCGCUACGCGUUUAUUAACAGCCUAAAUUAUCACUAUCAAAUCUACUCAUCACAUUAAGAAUAGUAGGUUCACAUUUGCCCGCAAAUGCGAUGAUAGAGGCAUGUAAUGCUUUGUUAUAAGGGGCAUUUAUGGUGAGAAAAAAAAAUGGAUUCCCAAAACUUGAAACCCACGCGAUACAUGCUAAAAGCUAGACUACAAGCUAUCGAGCUAACUCACUUAGUGUUGUUAACGCCUGGUUAGCAUACCAGUGAAACUAAACUCAAAAUCGAUAAGACUUGACCUUCCAAUGAUGAAAUGAUCGUAGCAAACCCUGUAUUGAAAGCAGUCUGGGUUGAGGUCUUGACGGGCAAAAAGGUUUCUUCGCUUUUCUGAGUUCUUGAGUCUUAUCUCAUUGGUAUUGCCAAUGGUGUUUCAUGAUUGCGGGGAAUCUGUAAACAUCUUUUCCGGCCUUGUUUGAGGAGCCAUAUACUCCACAGAAAAUGACCGUGGUGAUGAAUCCACUAGUUCUAGUCACUUUUAUCAUUCAGUUUGGGGUAGCCCCUCGGCUGUUUUCAGAAUAAUUAAUGCAGUGGUCUUCCAACAUGGCCGCCAGGAGGCGUUCUACGUCAACUGAAA
RNAcentral lists this long non-coding RNA (5961 nucleotides) under Salmo salar (Atlantic salmon). RNAcentral describes it as "lncRNA (ENSSSAG00000097534.1, ENSSSAG00000109109.1)". Lineage: Eukaryota; Metazoa; Chordata; Actinopteri; Salmoniformes; Salmonidae. The record is from RNAcentral.